UACGGGGGGGGCAAGCGUUGUUCGGAAUUACUGGGCGUAAAGCGUGCGCAGGCGGUUCGCCAAGUCAGGUGUGAAAUCCCCGGGCUUAACCUGGGAAUUGCGCUUGAAACUAGCGAGCUUGAGUGUGGCAGAGGGGGGUGGAAUUCCACGUGUAGCAGUGAAAUGCGUAGAGAUGUGGAGGAACACCGAUGGCGAAGGCAGCCCCCUGGGUCAACACUGACGCUCAUGCACGAAAGCGUGGGGAGCAAACAGG
Molecule: ribosomal RNA, 253 nt
Filed under: uncultured bacterium
Lineage: Bacteria
Description: partial 16S ribosomal RNA
Rfam family: Bacterial small subunit ribosomal RNA
Source: RNAcentral